UAGCUGCUCGUACAGAGUUAAAUCUGGUCUCCGAAGCGGAUUGUAGUGGAUUGCAUAAACAAACAACCAACCUUUUUUCUUUGGCUCUAUUGAACGCCACAUUUUGAUGCAAUGAGAUUGUCACAUCAAAAAAUCUUACUGGAGGAAAAAGGUUUUCUUGGCCAACUGAUGAGCAACUUUUAAAAUGUUGCAUCUCACUGGUGAGGUAUGUGGAGGGCAGUGAGACGCCAACAUUCCUCCAACAAUUGAAUGAUGCUGAAAGUAUCACUGGUCAACAACAACCACAACAACAACAAUUACAGUUUACACCAAUUAUUAACGAGAUCACAACACGUGGCGAUGAGGGAAUACCAGCUGGCAUCUUUUCAGGGAGCGUUAGUGAAGGAGCGGCAACCAGUGGUAAGAAAGAUAUUAAAAAGCCAUCAAGAAGAAACCGCGAAGUUAGUUUAUGGAAGUUUCUUUACCGUUUGCUGGAAGCACCAAAUUACCAACUUAUUCGUUGGGUAAACAAAAGAGAGUUUGUGUUUCGUGUGUAUGACACAGCUGGUCUGGCGAUGCGCUGGGGGAUGGAAAAGAAUAACAUACACAUGAAUUACGACAAAAUGAGUCGCGCAAUGCGUCAAUAUAAGCAUGGUGAAGUACAGAAGGUUCCUGAAACGAAGCUUACAUUCAAGUUUGGCGAUGUUGUGGUGAACGAAAUUAAGAAAGGAAUAAUUUAAAGACAGAACAGAUAAAAAUAAAUCAGACAGUAAUUUUUAAAUAAAGAGCAUAAAAUUAAAUAUUAUUACGUGAUUAUAUAAUU
RNAcentral lists this long non-coding RNA (802 nucleotides) under Dendronephthya gigantea. Its description in RNAcentral is "uncharacterized LOC114521578, transcript variant X1". The record is from RNAcentral. Lineage: Eukaryota; Metazoa; Cnidaria; Anthozoa; Malacalcyonacea; Nephtheidae.